GAUGAAGAACGCAGCGAAAUGCGAUAAGUAAUGUGAAUUGCAGAAUUCAGUGAAUCAUCGAAUCUUUGAACGCACAUUGCGCCCGCUAGUAUUCUGGCGGGCAUGCCUGUUCGAGCGUCAUUUCAACCAUCAAGCCCUGUUUAGGCUUGUGUUGGGGCCCUGCGGUUGCCGCAGCCCCCUAAAUGCAGUGGCGGGCUCGUUGUCACUCCGAGCGCAGUAGCGUAUCUCGCUCUGGGCGUGGCGGCGGGUGCUAGCCGUGAAACAACCACUGAGGUUGACCUCGGAUAAGGUAGGAAUACCCGCUGAACUUAAGCAUAUCAAUAAGCGGAGGA
RNAcentral lists this unclassified non-coding RNA (332 nucleotides) under soil metagenome. RNAcentral describes it as "partial contains 5.8S ribosomal RNA, internal transcribed spacer 2, and large subunit ribosomal RNA". The stretch from base 1 to 120 matches the Rfam family "5.8S ribosomal RNA", at positions 35 to 154 of the family's 154-position model. The record is from RNAcentral.